UACGGAGGAUGCAAGCGUUAUCCAGAAUGAUUGGGCGUAAAGCGUCCGCAGGUGGCAAUGUAAGUCUGCUGUCAAAGCGUCUGGCUCAACCAGAUAAAGGCAGUGGAAACUACAUAGCUAGAGUAAGGUAGGGGUAGAGGGAAUUCCUGGUGUAGCGGUGAAAUGCGUAGAGAUCAGGAAGAACACCGGUGGCGAAAGCGCUCUGCUGGACCUAAACUGACACUGAGGGACGAAAGCUAGGGGAGCGAAUGGG
RNAcentral lists this ribosomal RNA (253 nucleotides) under uncultured bacterium. RNAcentral describes it as "partial 16S ribosomal RNA". It matches the Rfam family "Bacterial small subunit ribosomal RNA", at positions 524 to 776 of the family's 1533-position model. The record is from RNAcentral.